AAACUUACCUGUCAGGGGAGGUACCAUGAUCACGAAGGUGGUUUUCCCAGAGUGAGGCUUACCCAGUGCACUCCAGAUGUGCUCACCCCUGCAAUUUCCCCAAAUGUGGCAAACUCCUCUGCAUAAUUUGUGGUAGUGGGGACUGCAUUCACGCUUUCCCCUG
Molecule: small nuclear RNA, 163 nt
Filed under: Aotus nancymaae (Ma's night monkey)
Lineage: Eukaryota; Metazoa; Chordata; Mammalia; Primates; Aotidae
Description: U1 spliceosomal RNA (ENSANAG00000006656.1)
Rfam family: U1 spliceosomal RNA
About the family: U1 is a small nuclear RNA (snRNA) component of the spliceosome (involved in pre-mRNA splicing). Its 5' end forms complementary base pairs with the 5' splice junction, thus defining the 5' donor site of an intron.
Source: Rfam by way of RNAcentral